ACUGUUGCUGACAUUAAGAAUUUUCUUUGCGUCGCCUGAACCGUUGAAAAAUCCAUUCUUUUGUGUAAGGUUCCACUCAGCUUCGGUCCCCAGCCAUCACAUUGCACGGAAUGGAAGAGAACUUUUCCGAGCGCACAAGGCAAGAUUAAGCAAGAAAACCUCAAAUCAACCAGAAAAGAACGUUGCUUUGAGGGCAUACGAGGGUUCAAAAUUCAAAAAGUUUGACAAAGCUAUGAAUUUGAGGAAAAAGAGGAACCGACUGACAGAAUCCGAUAGACCAGAAACCGAAAAAGCCAUCCUUGCUCUGAACAGAAAUUUACCUAAAAUAAGAGAACCGACUGAUCCGCCUACUUCUCUAGCCAGGAACACAAGAAGAUGCAAGUGGGAUCGGUUCGAGGAGGACAAAAGAAGGGAAUUUUGAGCGUGGGCGUUGUGAAAGCGACGAGGUUGGCUUGUGUGGGGAAGACCGGAUUUGGACCUGCGGCGGUGGGCGUCGACGGCAUUUGAGGAGGAUGAGAAUACCGUCUGUCAGGGCGGCAUUUUAUUUCCGGCCCUCCGGAAUUUACCAUCGGCAGCAUUACUGGAAUCAACAGUGCAACCCCAUGUGGGUCCUCGCUUAUGCUCCAAUCAAAGAAAUCGGGUAAAAUUAGAACCAGAAAACCAUCGUUAGCGCGGCGCGGGACGUGCAACGGCGAGCUCUCCACGCCACCACUUUAUGUUUCUG
RNAcentral lists this long non-coding RNA (724 nucleotides) under Musa acuminata (dwarf banana). RNAcentral describes it as "long non-coding RNA (MACU_LNC005382)". The record is from RNAcentral. Lineage: Eukaryota; Viridiplantae; Streptophyta; Magnoliopsida; Zingiberales; Musaceae.